Molecule: non-coding RNA, 107 nt
Filed under: Bacillus sp. (in: firmicutes)
Lineage: Bacteria; Bacillati; Bacillota; Bacilli; Caryophanales; Bacillaceae
Also listed under: 1 other name
Description: Bacillus sp. SAM-I sequence
Rfam family: SAM riboswitch aptamer (S box leader)
About the family: The SAM riboswitch is found upstream of a number of genes which code for proteins involved in methionine or cysteine biosynthesis in Gram-positive bacteria. The SAM riboswitch acts at the level of transcription termination control. The predicted structure consists of a complex stem-loop region followed by a single stem loop terminator region.
Source: RNAcentral
UUCUUAUCAAGAGUGGUGGAGGAACUGGUCCUACGAAGCCCGGCAACCGGUAUGUAUCGCAUACACGGUGCUAAUUCCAGCAGAGUUUUAGCUCUGGAAGAUAAGGA